Molecule: unclassified non-coding RNA, 660 nt
Filed under: Hevea brasiliensis (rubber tree)
Lineage: Eukaryota; Viridiplantae; Streptophyta; Magnoliopsida; Malpighiales; Euphorbiaceae
Source: RNAcentral
UCCACCCAUACCCACUAUUACUUCAGCAGGGACAAUGUCAAGUUCAUUGGCUACUGGGAAGCCACCUGCAAGUGGUAUGGAAUCUCUUCCUGGGCUUGCUAGUAUACCCAAUAUUGAAGCUGUUAAACGUGCUCAGGAGCUUGCUGCUAAAAUGGGGUUCCGACAGGAUCCUGAGUUUGCUCCUCUUAUAAACUUGUUCCCUGGCCAGGUGCCAGCAGAAGUUUCUGUACCACAGAAGCCUACCAAGGUCCCUGUUCUUCGUAUAGAUGCACUUGGUCGGGAAAUAGAUGAACAUGGAAAUGUAGUUAAUGUGACUAAGCCAAGCAACCUUAGCACCCUAAAGGUAAACAUUAACAAGCAGAAAAAGGAUGCAUUUCAGAUUCUUAAACCUGAAUUGGAAGUGGAUCCUGAAUCAAAUCCUCACUUUGAUCAAAGAAUGGGCAUAAAUAAGAAUAAGCUUUUGAGGCCCAAACGGAUGAGUUUCCAGUUUGUAGAGGAAGGGAAAUGGUCGAAGGAAGCUGAAAUGAUGAAAUUGAAGAGUCAAUUUGGAGAAGAAAGGGCAAAAGAUAUGAAGGCAAGACAAGCGCUGCAUGCAAAGGCAAAAGCGGCUCCUGAUAUAAAUCCCAAUUUGAUAGAGGUAUCAGAGAGAGUUAUAAUUAA